GUUCUGCAAAUUAUUAGGUUCCUCGGGAGUAGGCGACAUGGUGAAGUGUCGAACAGGAAGAGAAUGCGAAUGGAGCAAGGAUCCGGAAAACGAGCAGAUUGAAGAUCAACGAAACUGAAAGUUCAAAGUCGAGAAAGAGAGAAAAAUGUGCACAGCAACGGAAACUUAAGAAAAAGAGCACCGGAGACGGCGUUAAUCAUCUCCCCUCCUUCAGGCACCACCGAUGGCUAAAGGCCCAAAACACAAAGCAUUUCUCUUCUCAACAAUUCCAACCACGUUUCUGCAGAAGGAAACGCUCAUGAAGAUGAUGAACGACCAUUUUUAGUGUUGCUUCCUGGUUCGUCUUGCCGUGGACUGGACUCCGCUUCGCCGGAACGGCAAGAUAAAACUAUAUCAGAUUUUAUCCUUUCGCGCUAAAUUUCGGAAAAUAGAAUUUAUAUAUUGUUUGUUUUAUAAGGUAACUAUCCAAAAUGAAAUUCAUAGCUCAAA
Cucumis melo (muskmelon) is the source of this 489-nucleotide long non-coding RNA. RefSeq lists it as uncharacterized. The transcript has 2 exons. NCBI's taxonomy places the organism in Eukaryota, Viridiplantae, Streptophyta, Magnoliopsida, Cucurbitales, Cucurbitaceae. The record is from RefSeq and is a predicted model, not a curated record.